Molecule: small nuclear RNA, 141 nt
Organism: Zalophus californianus (California sea lion)
Lineage: Eukaryota; Metazoa; Chordata; Mammalia; Carnivora; Otariidae
Gene: U4
Rfam family: U4 spliceosomal RNA
About the family: U4 small nuclear RNA (U4 snRNA) is a component of the major U2-dependent spliceosome.
Source: Ensembl
AGCUUUGCGCAGUGGCAGUAUUGUAGCCAAUGAGGUUUAUCUGAGGCGCGAUUAUUGCUAACAGAAUCAACCAAGAUAUGAUGACAUUCUUUUCUAUUUUUGAUUACACAGAUCAAAAUAAAAGUGGUAACUAUGGUAUAG